This 2001-nucleotide ribosomal RNA is filed under the name Triticum aestivum (bread wheat). Its description in RNAcentral is "partial small subunit ribosomal RNA". The record is from RNAcentral. Lineage: Eukaryota; Viridiplantae; Streptophyta; Magnoliopsida; Poales; Poaceae.
AUGCUAUCGACCUGUCAUGUGGCUGUACUGUUGGGUGCAGAUGACUUGAGUUGUACUAAAACCUUUCUCUUGAGCUGGGGGGACGACGAGCUCGGGCGUCCCUCGUCUCGCCGCCGCCGCCACGCGAUGCCCCCGCCCGGCAGCCGCGUCGCCACCUACCUCCGCCGCGCGCGGCUCAUCGACUCGCUGCGCCUGCGCCUCCGCUCCCCUUCCUCCCCGCCGCCGCCCCCACCCGACGACCCCGUGGUCGCGCUCCACGGCAUCCGCGCCGCGCCCACCCCAGCGGCGGCGCUCUCCUUCUUCCGCGCCCUCCCCUCGCCGGCCCCGCUCCCGCUCUUCCACGCGCUCGCCUCCCGCCUCGCCAACCCCGCGUCGCUCCCCGACCUCCGCUCCCUCCUCGCCUCCUUCCCCCUGCCCCCUCCCCCGCUCGUGCGCCUCCGCCUCCUCGCCGCCGCGGGGGACCACCCUGCCGCCCUCGCCGCCUUCGCCUCCAUCCCGACCGCCCCGCACCGCCCCGCCGAGGCGCACACCCUCGUCAUCGACCUCCACGCCGGCGCUGGGAACCACGCCGCCGCCGUGGACGCGUUCGGCGCCAUGGUCCGCGAGGGCGCGCUCCCCAACGCGCGCACCUACACCGUCGUCGUCGCCCACCUUGCCUCCGCGGGGUUCGUCGACCAGGCGCUCGAGGUGUUCCGGCUCCUGCCGUCGCUGCGCACGCGGCGGACCACCCGGCAGUACAACGUGCUCGCCGAGGCGCUCGCGGACGCCGGGAGGUUCGACCAGCUCCGGUGGCUGGUCCGCGAGAUGGCGGCCGUCGACGGCGUCAUGCCCGGGCCGCAGACGCGGGCUGCCAUCGCCGCCAUGAGGGAAGCCGGCCACACGGAGGGCACCGAGGACUUUGUCGAGGAGCUUUCGCCGGACGCAAGGAUCCCGUACGCCGUGGACGACGCGGACGGCGAGGGAGGCAGCGAGGAGGAAGAGGACGGUGAAAAGGACACGCCCAGAGCUAAGGAGACGCCGCUCAAGCCAUGGCUGGACCCGCGGGAGCUCGCGAGGGCGCUGGAAGGCUGGGACCCCAAGGAGGUGGCGGAGCUGGAGGCCGCCGGGAUCGUCUGGACGCCGCGGCUCGUGUGCAAGCUCCUGCGCGCGUUCAGGAAGCCGGGGACGGCGUGGGAGUUCUUCUGCUGGGUGGCGUGCCGCCCCGGCGGCUUCGCGCACGACCGCGACACCGUGGCGAGGAUGGCCGCCAUCCUGGCCCGCGCCGGCCGCGACGACCUGGUGGAGCGCCUGCUGGCCAAGGUGCGAGACGACGGCAUCCUCCUCCCGUUCGCCACCGUGCGUCUAAUCGUCGACUUCUACGGGCUCUCCAAGAAUGCCGACGCGGCGGUGAGGGUGUUCCGGGAAGCCGACUCCAUCUGCGGCCCCGUGUCGCGGCCCAACCUCGCGCUGCUCUGCUCGUCGCUGCUGAGGACGAUGGCCAAGUGCCGGCGAGGGCGCGACGCCACGGAGCUCCUGGAGGAGAUGAUGGUGACGCGCGGCGUGCUCCCGGACCUGCAGACCUUCUCGGGGCUGAUGGAGCACCUGGCCGGCGCCGGCGACCUCAAGGGCGUGCACAGGCUGUUCGGGAUGGUGCGGCAGUGCGAGCUGCGGCCCGACGGGCACAUGUACGCCGUGCUGAUCAGGGCCUACUGCAAGCGGGAGCGCGCGGCGCUCGCGCUGAAGCUGUUCGACGAAAUGCGCGGCGCCGGGGUCGCGCCGGACGCGCCCACCAAGGCGCUGCUUGUGAAGAGCCUGUGGCGGGAAGGGAAACUCCGGGAGGCGGCGCUGGUCGAGGAGAGGUGCGAGGAGAUGAUCACGGCGGGAGGCGGCCUUCCCGGGGCGGCGCCGGGGCAUGUGUGGACGGCGAGCGCCGCGGACUUGAACAAGGUGUAUGGCAUCUAUUCCGGGUGCUUUAGGCGGCAUGAUGCAGAGCAAUUGGCGGCUGAUGGAGGCACUGAUUGA